GACGAACGCUGGCGGCGUGCUUAACACAUGCAAGUCGAACGGAAAGGCCCUGCUUUUGUGGGGUGCUCGUGUGGCGAACGGGUGAGUAACACGUGAGUAACCUUCCCUUUACUUUGGGAUAAACUUAGGAAACUGGGGCUAAUACCCGGUAGGAGCUCUUGCUGCAUGGUGGGGGUUGGAAAGGUUCGGUGGUUGGGGAUGGACUCGCGGCUUAUCAGCUUGUUGGUGGGGUAGUGGCUUACCAAGGCUUUGACGGGUAGCCGGCCUGAGAGGGUGACCGGCCACAUUGGGACUGAGGGACGGCCCAGACUGCUACGGGAGGCAGCAGGGGGGAAUAUUGCACAAUGGGCGGAAGCCUGAUGCAGCAACGCCGCGUGCGGGAUGACUGCCUUCGGGGUGUAAACCGCUUUCGCCUGUGACGAAGCGUGAGUGACGGUAAUGUGUAAAGAAGCACCGGCUAACUACGUG
This 468-nucleotide ribosomal RNA is filed under the name uncultured bacterium. RNAcentral's name for it is "partial 16S ribosomal RNA". It matches the Rfam family "Bacterial small subunit ribosomal RNA", at positions 28 to 507 of the family's 1533-position model. The record is from RNAcentral.